Molecule: ribosomal RNA, 292 nt
Filed under: uncultured bacterium
Lineage: Bacteria
Description: partial 16S ribosomal RNA
Rfam family: Bacterial small subunit ribosomal RNA
Source: RNAcentral
GUGUCAGCCGCCGCGGUAAGACGAACCGUGCAAACGUUAUUCGGAAUCACUGGGCUUAAAGGGCGCGUAGGCGGGUCCUCAAGUCAGGGGUGAAAUCCCACGGCUCAACCGUGGAAGUGCCUUUGAUACUGGGGGUCUCGAGGGAGGUAGGGGCGUGCGGAACUUCCGGUGGAGCGGUGAAAUGCGUAGAUAUCGGAAGGAACACCGGUGGCGAAAGCGGCGCGCUGGACCUCUUCUGACGCUGAGGCGCGAAAGCCAGGGGAGCAAACGGGAUUAGAAACCCCUGUAGUCC